CCGCCCUUUAGUGCUGCAGCAAACGCAUUAAGCACUCCGCCUGGGGAGUACGGCCGCAAGGCUGAAACUCAAAGGAAUUGACGGGGGCCCGCACAAGCGGUGGAGCAUGUGGUUUAAUUCGAAGCAACGCGAAGAACCUUACCAGGUCUUGACAUCUCCUGACAAUCCUAGAGAUAGGACGUUCCCCUUCGGGGGACAGGAUGACAGGUGGUGCAUGGUUGUCGUCAGCUCGUGUCGUGAGAUGUUGGGUUAAGUCCCGCAACGAGCGCAACCCUUGAUCUUAGUUGCCAGCAUUUAGUUGGGCACUCUAAGGUGACUGCCGGUGACAAACCGGAGGAAGGUGGGGAUGACGUCAAAUCAUCAUGCCCCUUAUGACCUGGGCUACACACGUGCUACAAUGGAUGGUACAAAGGG
This 414-nucleotide ribosomal RNA is filed under the name Latilactobacillus sakei. Its description in RNAcentral is "bacterial SSU rRNA". It matches the Rfam family "Bacterial small subunit ribosomal RNA", at positions 833 to 1246 of the family's 1533-position model. The record is from RNAcentral. Lineage: Bacteria; Bacillati; Bacillota; Bacilli; Lactobacillales; Lactobacillaceae.